Molecule: ribosomal RNA, 1445 nt
Filed under: uncultured bacterium
Lineage: Bacteria
Description: bacterial SSU rRNA
Rfam family: Bacterial small subunit ribosomal RNA
Source: RNAcentral
GGCAGGUGCGGAUGCUUACCAUGCAAGUCGAACGGAAACGAAACUAGCUUGCUAGUAGGCGUCGAGUGGCGGACGGGUGAGUAACGCGUAGGAAUCUGCCUGAUAGUGGGGGAUAGCCCGAAGAAAUUCGGAUUAAUACCGCAUAAUCUAUUCGUAGUAAAGUGGGGGACUUUCGAGCCUCACGCUAUCAGAUGAGCCUGCGUAAGAUUAGCUUGUUGGUAGGGUAAAAGCCUACCAAGGCAACGAUCUUUAGCUGGUCUGAGAGGAUGAUCAGCCACAUCGGGACUGAGACACGGCCCGAACUCCUACGGGAGGCAGCAGUGGGGAAUAUUGGACAAUGGGGGCAACCCUGAUCCAGCAAUACCGCGUGUGUGAAGAAGGCCUGAGGGUUGUAAAGCACUUUCAAUUAUGAAGAAAAGUUAACGGUUAAUAACCGUUGACCUUGACGUUAAUUUUAGAAGAAGCACCGGCUAACUCCGUGCCAGCAGCCGCGGUAAUACGGAGGGUGCAAGCGUUAAUCGGAAUUACUGGGCGUAAAGCGUGCGUAGGCGGUUUAUUAAGUCAGAUGUGAAAGCCCCGGGCUUAACCUGGGAACUGCAUUUGAAACUGGUCAACUAGAGUAUGGUAGAGGAAAGUGGAAUUUCUGGUGUAGCGGUGAAAUGCGUAGAUAUCAGAAGGAACAUCAAUGGCGAAGGCAGCUUUCUGGACCAAUACUGACGCUGAGGUACGAAAGCGUGGGUAGCAAACAGGAUUAGAUACCCUGGUAGUCCACGCCGUAAACGAUGAUAACUAGCCGUUGGGGGGAUUUACCCCUUAGUGGCGAAGCUAACGCGUUAAGUUAUCCGCCUGGGGAGUACGGCCGCAAGGCUAAAACUCAAAGGAAUUGACGGGGACCCGCACAAGCGGUGGAGCAUGUGGUUUAAUUCGAUGCAACGCGAAGAACCUUACCUGGUCUUGACAUCCUGCGAACUUUCUAGAAAUAGAUUGGUGCCUUCGGGAACGCAGUGACAGGUGCUGCAUGGCUGUCGUCAGCUCGUGUCGUGAGAUGUUGGGUUAAGUCCCGUAACGAGCGCAACCCCUAUCCUUAUUUGCCAGCACAUUAUGGUGGGAACUAUAAGGAGACUGCCGGUGAUAAACCGGAGGAAGGCGGGGACGACGUCAAGUCAUCAUGGCCCUUACGACCAGGGCUACACACGUACUACAAUGGGAAGGACAAAGAGCCGCGAAGCCGCGAGGUGUAGCUAAUCUCAUAAAUCUUUUCGUAGUCCGGAUUGGAGUCUGCAACUCGACUCCAUGAAGUCGGAAUCGCUAGUAAUCGUAGAUCAGAAUGCUACGGUGAAUACGUUCCCGGGUCUUGUACACACCGCCCGUCAUACCAUGGGAGUGGGUUGCACCAGAAGUGGCUAGUCUAACUUUGUGAGGACGGUCACCCACCGGUGAUUACG